Molecule: ribosomal RNA, 1128 nt
Filed under: Pediococcus pentosaceus
Lineage: Bacteria; Bacillati; Bacillota; Bacilli; Lactobacillales; Lactobacillaceae
Description: bacterial SSU rRNA
Rfam family: Bacterial small subunit ribosomal RNA
Source: RNAcentral
AUANUGCAGUCGACGAACUUCCGUUAAUUGAUUAUGACGUACUUGUACUGAUUGAGAUUUUAACACGAAGUGAGUGGCGAACGGGUGAGUAACACGUGGGUAACCUGCCCAGAAGUAGGGGAUAACACCUGGAAACAGAUGCUAAUACCGUAUAACAGAGAAAACCGCAUGGUUUUCUUUUAAAAGAUGGCUCUGCUAUCACUUCUGGAUGGACCCGCGGCGUAUUAGCUAGUUGGUGAGGUAAAGGCUCACCAAGGCAGUGAUACGUAGCCGACCUGAGAGGGUAAUCGGCCACAUUGGGACUGAGACACGGCCCAGACUCCUACGGGAGGCAGCAGUAGGGAAUCUUCCACAAUGGACGCAAGUCUGAUGGAGCAACGCCGCGUGAGUGAAGAAGGGUUUCGGCUCGUAAAGCUCUGUUGUUAAAGAAGAACGUGGGUAAGAGUAACUGUUUACCCAGUGACGGUAUUUAACCAGAAAGCCACGGCUAACUACGUGCCAGCAGCCGCGGUAAUACGUAGGUGGCAAGCGUUAUCCGGAUUUAUUGGGCGUAAAGCGAGCGCAGGCGGUCUUUUAAGUCUAAUGUGAAAGCCUUCGGCUCAACCGAAGAAGUGCAUUGGAAACUGGGAGACUUGAGUGCAGAAGAGGACAGUGGAACUCCAUGUGUAGCGGUGAAAUGCGUAGAUAUAUGGAAGAACACCAGUGGCGAAGGCGGCUGUCUGGUCUGCAACUGACGCUGAGGCUCGAAAGCAUGGGUAGCGAACAGGAUUAGAUACCCUGGUAGUCCAUGCCGUAAACGAUGAUUACUAAGUGUUGGAGGGUUUCCGCCCUUCAGUGCUGCAGCUAACGCAUUAAGUAAUCCGCCUGGGGAGUACGACCGCAAGGUUGAAACUCAAAAGAAUUGACGGGGGCCCGCACAAGCGGUGGAGCAUGUGGUUUAAUUCGAAGCUACGCGAAGAACCUUACCAGGUCUUGACAUCUUCUGACAGUCUAAGAGAUUAGAGGUUCCCUUCGGGGACAGAAUGACAGGUGGUGCAUGGUUGUCGUCAGCUCGUGUCGUGAGAUGUUGGGUUAAGUCCCGCAACGAGCGCAACCCUUAUUACUAGUUGCCAGCAUUAAGUUGGGCMC